AUAAAAUGUUCUGGUUUCAAAAA
This 23-nucleotide non-coding RNA is filed under the name Cricetulus griseus (Chinese hamster). Lineage: Eukaryota; Metazoa; Chordata; Mammalia; Rodentia; Cricetidae. The record is from RNAcentral.